Molecule: Y RNA, 111 nt
Filed under: Cebus imitator (Panamanian white-faced capuchin)
Lineage: Eukaryota; Metazoa; Chordata; Mammalia; Primates; Cebidae
Description: Y RNA (ENSCCAG00000014401.1)
Rfam family: Y RNA
About the family: Y RNAs are components of the Ro ribonucleoprotein particle (Ro RNP), in association with Ro60 and La proteins. The Y RNAs and Ro60 and La proteins are well conserved, but the function of the Ro RNP is not known.
Source: Rfam by way of RNAcentral
GGCUGGUCCGAAGGUAGUGAGUUAUCUCAAUUGAUUGUUCAGUCAGUCAUAGAUCGAACUCCUUGUUCUACUCAUUCCCCUCUUCUCACUACUGCACUUGACCAGUCUUUU